CGCGGAGGCCCCUGGGGCCCUCGGGCGGCUGGCGCCCUGGCGACGGUCAUGAGGCACUUCUCUGCCUCCUAGUCCUCGCUGCCACCAGAGAGUGGGGGGAUUGGAGGCUGCGGGCACUUUCGCUCUCUGGACAACAUGGUGGAGAGGAUUGGGCCCAAGGAGAGCCAGAGUAAGGUGCUGCUUCUGCCGGCUUGCGCUCUCUCUCUCAGGGAGGGACAGCAGGGAGGGUGCAGGUGAGCAGAGGCAGCUGCUCAUGCAAAACGUGGGCCACCCACAUACUCACUCUCACCUGCAUCCUCCCUCGUGGUGGCACAGUAUUGGGCAUGACGUUUGCUUGCACUCUCAAGCUGGGCAGUCCUUACUGCUGCAUCACCCGCAGGCAGAGCUGCCCAGGGCAGGAGAGAGCAGAUGAGUGGCUGGAAGCCGUGGCAGUUGCUCCUUACAUCCAUUGCCAGGGGAGGUACAGAGCAGUCCUUGCCCACCCAAACUUCUCAAGGAUGUUGUGCCACAGCAGGAACUGGUCUGUACUGAUCCCUGACCCCAGUAGCUGAAUCGCGGCUGCCUUUCUCUGGACAGAACGGCAGACGCACAGUGCUGUUCUGCCAAGUUCUGCUCUUGUCUCAUCAAGCUCCCCCAGUCCCUACUUCCAGGUGCUCAGUAGCAGUUAACUGUCUUCUAUCCGCCGCCCCAUCAUCCUUAGAUAGUAAUAAUUUGUAUGACUUUGCUCACUUAUAAAGUCAUGCAUUGGGAGUCCUUCAUCAUUUUGCUGCAUGGGACCCCCGUCUUCUGCCCCCAGAUCCUGGCCUGAGGGCCCAGGAGCAUGUGCUAGGGGCCUGGGAGAUUCUGGGUUAUGGGGUACAGUGGUCUUGUUGGAGAGCAGCUAAGCCACACUGGAAAGUCUUCCCUUUUCUGAUUCCAUGGAAUAGAGGCAAGGCACCACCCAGUGUAACAAUUACGCCCCCUUUCCCCAGCUAUUCAAGCACACAUGCAACUCCCCUCUCUCCUUAAGCUAGGCUGGUGCCUGUGGCCACUCUGCUUUUGCUGGGGACCAGGGGCGUCUUACCCAUAGAGGCUAGGGGCGCCGGGCGCCAGGGCGCCAAGUUCUGGAGGGCGCCAGGGAAGAGGCAGAGGCUGGACGCGGCACCUGCCAGCAUCAGCUCACCGCCCUUGCCCACCACGGCAUGCAGCGGCCAGCUGAGCCGGGAGGCACCGCGGCCAGCCUCCACCUCUUCCCUGCCAGAGGAGCCACCCUCCAGCCGCUGCCCGCCUCCUCCAGCCCUGCCGGCAGCGCCGCCCUCCCUAAAAAACUCUGGGAAAUGGGGGCGGGGGGCGCCAGAGGGAGCUUUACACCACAGCGCCAGAUAUGCUUAAGAUGGCCCUGCUGGGGACUCAACACAAAUGUAAGCAGAUAUGGCACACUGGUUUUCAUAUGCACCUUCGGAAGACUCAGUUACUCUGAUUAACGCUUCCUCAUUCAAAAUAUAAAAGGCUGCUUUAGUCCAAGAAGAGAUCAUUGGUCCAUCUAGCUUGCUAUUAUCUAGAGCAGAAUUCCACCACCAUCCCAUGAGUCCUGCCCAGCUUGGGCUGAUGGUUUGGAAAGGCUGGUCUACGCAUAGAUUGGCAGCAGUUCUCCAGUAUUGACCUUCCCCAGCAAUAUCUGGAGAUGCUGGGGCUAGAUGAGGGACCUUCGGCUCUGCCGCUGAACCACAGUCCUUCCUUGCCGGCUGGAGGAGAAGCCUGGAUCUUUUCUGGAAAUCACCACUGGCGUUGCUCACAUGUCCCACGAACCCCCUCCCCACGCCAAGUGGAUCAUGGAUUAACUCCCACAUAGCUGCCGAGGGUAUACCUUGCUAAUCUGUUUGUGGGCAGACAGCCCAGUUCUUACCUCCAACUCUUAUGUUCUUCUCCGGACCUCAGCGGAGGGACUGAGAUGGCUCAGCAGAACCACCACCCCAGGUCCCCAAGCACCCUACCCCUUGGAGGCCUGGGAAGGGAAUGUAUUCCCUGCGCCUUCCCGGCUCCCCUGGCACCAGGCAGCUCUCAAGGGCACUAGCUUGCAUCCAGUUCUCACAUCCCGUCCCCUUCCCUGCCUGCUGCCGCUGCUGUACAUCGUAAGCCCCUUUGCACCGUUUCUCUGCUGGCUGCACUUGCCCUCAGCUGCUCUCUCUUGCCUCUAAUUAGCUAUUCCAAUGGAGUGAGCCAAAUGGGGCGCUUGCUGUUGGCACAGGAUCUAAACUGGGAUCGCUUGAUAAAUUGCCAACCCAAUCUCUCUGGGCUUAUAUAAUAAUUCUUUGCUCCAGAGAGGAACUGCACGCUCAUUAGUGGUUUCCACUGCUGGCCAGAGAAUGGGCCUGGGGGAUGCCUCUGCACCUGGCCCUUCCCCCACCUCCUGCCCUGGGCCAGCUAUAUAUAGGCCAAGCAUUAUUUACUCUUAGCUACAUAGGGUCUUACCCCUGAGCACAUUUGCUUAAAUCCGUUAGGAUUAUCCUGUAUGACAGCACCGUUUCGUUAAAGUGUAGCCACUCCUCCCUUACUUACACUUGCUGUGCAGUGAUCUUAAUAAGCAUUAUAGUGUCAAGUAAACCUAUUGCUAAAACUGCCCUGCUCAAGGCAGUCUCAGCGGGACAACGCUUUAGAGAACCAGCACCAGCUUUAGACCCAACCAGGGUGUCGUGCUAAAUCUACUAGUGUGGACCCAAGAUCCUUGACAAACUGGGUUUUUAGGGAGGAGGAGAUUUGAAUCCUGGCCCCAGCAAGGAGCAGUGCCAACCCCACCCCCUCACUUGAUGUGUUGCAACUGGGAAAUAUAAGAACAAUAACUGGUGCCAGAGAUGUUUGUUUGGCUCUUUCUACCCCACCCCUUCCCCCCCACCCCUUUUUGGGUCCUGCCUUUUAGGUUGUAAGCCUGCGAGCGGGGACUGUCAUGUUUUUAAUCUGUGCAGUUUAUUAAAAAUGUAGGUACUUUGUAAAUGAGAAAGCAUAACAAUUGAAAUCAAAAGGGAAGGGGGCAUCCAAUGAAUGUUGAGAAAUUCAGGACAGAUGAAAGAAAGUACCUCUUCCCACACUGUCUAGUGAAACUAUGGCAUUUGCUCCCACAAGGUGUUGGGGUGGUCACCAACUUAGAUGGCUUUAAAAGAGGAUUAGACAAAUGCACAGGGGAUAAGGCUGUCAAUGGAUACUAACCAUCCUAUGUUCUACCUUCACUGUCGGAGGCAGUAUGCAACUGAAUACCAGUUGCUGAGGAAAGGUGUUUUUGGCAUUCAAGUCCUACUUGCAGGCUUUACACAUCUGGCUGGCCACUUUGAGAACUCAGUGUUGGACAAAAUGGGCCUUUUGUCUGAUCCAACAGUUCUCUUCAUAUAAGCUUUCCAUGGAAAUACCUGGGGACCCUUGGUGGCAUGAAUACUGCCUCACAAGUACUUCUCUGGGAGCAGAGCAGCACUUAUACCACAUCUCAGAUGACCUUUGUCUGGAUUUAGGAAUGUAGUGUAACAAAGUCUUUUAUGUUCGCUUUUAUCAGCACCGCACUUUUAGGUUCUUUUUGAACUAUAUGCUUUUUGUGGGGCUCUGCUGCCAUUUUUGCUCCAUUUUAAUAUCAGCGUUGGUUUGUUGUUGCUAUGUAUUUUUAAAUCAGUUUGCCAUAAGCUGCCUUGUGGGGUCUAGAAAUGGAGAGGCUGGGAAGAAACCCUCUUGAUAAAUAACACAUAUACAGAUGGUAAAGACUGCCUGAGUCUGAUUACAGUGAAACCCAAAAGUGGAUGCAAGAGCUAUUUAAAGAGGAAGGUAUAUUUCUCCCUGUUUUUGGAACAGAAAGCUGGUUGCCUGCAGAAUUUAUGGUCUGUGCUAAAUCUUAGAUGAUUUUCUCUGUUGCAGGCUGUCAGGGAAAUGUCAGGGACCAAGGCAACAGCAGUGCAUGUAGUUAUAGAUAUAGAUAUAGAUAUUAGAUAUAGAUGAUAUAGAUGAUAUAGAUAUAGAUAUUAGAUAUACCUUAAGCCUCUAUCUCUAUCUCUAUCUCUAUCUCUAUGUCUCUAUCUAUAAACUGCUGCUGACACCCUGCUAUGGGUGGGUGUGAGCGGGUGAGAUGGGGUUAGCUUUUAUUGACACCUUGAAGCAUACUAGUGUUCAAAUUAUUAUUGGUAGUAUUAUUCUCCGCCACCGCCCCCCAACAGCCCUUAGCCAUUUGUAUCAAUUUCCUAUGCUUUCAAGGAUGGGGAUAUGCCUGUCAUUUUUUGAUAAAAUGAUUGUUUCCUGCCCUGACCCCAUGAGAUAAGAUGGACUAUAAAUAAAAUGAAGCAAAUUGCUUGCAAUCAGCUAGCUUGACCUUCUGAAGAAAUAAAAGUCACAUCUCAAAAAAGCCUCAAGUGUAGCUGUGUUAACCAUUUAAAUCUAUUUUAGCAAUUGGAGCAGACACAUUUAAAAUCACCCACUGCCUUCCACUGCCAAAACUAAGCAGUACAACCAGUCCACAAUGCUGGCGACAAAGGCCCUAAUUGGGAUAAUUUUUCCACAUGAGGUGGACCUGUGGAACGGUUAAUAGUUUUUGGUUAAAAGUUUUACUAUAAAAGGUCAACAGAUAUAUUGUACACUAAAGCUGGAGCUGAUCUCAUUAUUGGGUGGACAAAACAAAAACUUGCCAUACAAACAAGUCUGUUAUUUGUGAUAGGGGCAGCCAUGCAAGUAUAACCUAAGAAUUAACACAGAGAAGUAACAUGAUUGGACCAUGGGUAGAGCAAAGUGUGCAACCUUCCCUUGGCCAAAAAAACCCCUAACCAACCAAGUAAAAGUUGCUAAAGGGGAAACACAUGGGUCAAAUUAUGUACUUUAUCGUUUUCUUACUUCUGGAAAUGAAAUAGUUGGACAUCGGCUUCAGAUACUGGACAGAUGUUCUAAGUUAAUAUAAAGAAAAUGUUCUUGCACAAUUUUUCAUUCUCUGUACUUACAUUGUAUAGCUGAGUAAACUGUAUAGAAUGGGGGGGGCAGUCUGGAUUAUAUCCAUGGGUCCCUUCCAGGCCUGAGAUAUUGUAUCUGUAGGGUUAGAACAGGGGUCAGCAACCUUUUUCAGCUGUGGGCCAGUCCACCGUCCCUCAGACCAUGUGGUGGGCCGGACUAUAUUGGGGGGGGGAGGAAUGAACGAAUUCCUAUGCCCCACAAAUAAUCCAGAGAUGCAUUUUAUAUAAAAGGGCACAUUCUUCUCAUGUAAAAACACGCUGAUUCCUGGACUGUCCACGGGCUGGAUUGAGAAUGCGAUUGGGCCGCAUCCGGCCCCCGGGCCUUAGGUUGCCUACCCCUGGGUUAGAAUAUGUAAGAUGAAACCUGUUGAACCAGUUAAACCAGUUCCUUUGUUAGCUCAGCUAAAUGUUCAUCACCAGCAUCUUAAAGAGUGAGUCCUGUUGUCAUAGAGACAAAUGAGUAGGUCUUUUCCCACCUCACCUGACUGGAGCCCACAUCAUCCUAGGAUUGAAAACAAUAGGUAAAGAGGGGCUGUGAGAGAGAGAGUUUUGGCUAUCAUUGGAAGCUGGAGACACAGAGGCUUGGUCUGUGUUGGACUCAAAAGCUGUGGCUUGGGGAUCCCCCUGGGAACCUAAUGAGGAGGCAAGAUCUGUUGGUGUGUUUAUGCUGUGAGCCCUUCUAUGCCAGUCCUAUGUUCAGGUUGUAUAUAUGUGUGUAAAUAAAGACAUAACUGUCUCCUUUGAGCUUCUUUCCUGAAACCGGAAACCUGGUGUGAUGGGAUGAUGAGCUGCUUGUGCGUAAAAUAGUAUCCCCUCAGAGUUUGUUCAAGUCCACAAACCUCUGUCUGUGACGGAGCCCCUCAGACAUGGCUCCUCUAGUCACUAGCAGAUUCCGACAGUGGUUGCUUCGGAAUCGCUUCCAACAUAAAAGCUCCUUAACGGAAACACGUCUUCUGGACUCUCUGCGUGACAGUUUCCGGCGAGGAGUGGGUGUUCCUACAGGAGGUCCUGAAACCUCCCCACUGUUUUCGCUGGAAGUGUCUCUGAGCCAUCCCUCCAGCUCACUUUCCCUCAGCUCAGCUGCUGAGUCUCUCCCAACCUGUGUGAGCCCUUUCACCUCCCUUCCUUCCGAUGGCAGUUCCCUGACAUCCACCUCCCCUCCAGGGCCCCUUUCACCCCCUCUCGCCCUCCUCUACGGGCGGUGAGGAGGCAAAACCCGGAAUGAACUUCCUUCAUCUUCCGAUGUCUCGAACACUUCUCUCCACCUGUUGCGGUUCCUGGUCUCAAGUACUCCUCCUCCUCAGAGUCCAUCUCCCUUCCCCUUCCGAGUCCGGGAAUCCUUCCAACUCCUCCUCCUCAUCAGUGGUCCCAAAGUAUUCCUCCGGAACCUCUCCACAGGCUGAGGUUUCCUUGGGAACCUUUGAUGGAACGUUUCUAUCAAUACCUCGUCAUUGAUAUCUUCGGCCAUUACCCAAGUGUUUUCUGACUCCGGUUCUCCUUCCCACGCUACCAAAUACUCCACCUGAUCCCCUUCCACCUGGCGUCGAGGAUUUCUGCCACAUGGCUGCUGCAUUCUCUUCUUCUAUGACCGGUCCCCGAGUGGCCAGCCCUUCUCGUCCCCUUCGUACGGUGACAGUAACGACCUGUGAAAUACUGGGUGCAGUUUCAUGUGGUUGGGUAACCGGAGCCUGAAAGCCACUGGGUUGACCUGUUGAAUGACCUCAAAGGGACCCAACCUCCUGGGUCUUAAUUUCUUACAACCUCCUUUGAACGGCAACCCUUGGGGUGACAGCCACACCCUAUCUCCCACCCUUAUGGUUUCACCUUCCCUUCGGUUCUUGUCUGCCUGCCUCUUGUAUUCUUCCUUCGCCCUGUCUGCGUGGGGUGGGAGCUGACGAUGGAUUGCUUCCAUUCUUCCACAAAAUGCUCGGCUGCCGGGACGCUCCAUCUCUCCCCAUCUCCCGCUGGGAAAGCCCUGGGAUGACACCCAUAAUUAGCCAAGAAGGGGCUCAUCCCUGUGGACACAUUCUCGGCAUUGUUGUAGGCAAAUUCCGCCAGCGCCAACUUUUCUACCCAGUCAUUCUCUCUGUCAUUGACAUAACACCUCAGGUAUUGCUGGAGGACACCGUUUGCUCUUUCCGCCUGCCCGGUGGUGUCAGGGUGCCGGGCAGUCGAACAAUUGACCUCCACCUGCAGUAAGCUCAUGAGCUUCCUCCAGAACCUGGAAGUAAAUUGUUUUCCUCGGUCUGAGACCACCCUCAAUGGCACCCCGUGCAACCUAAAAAUGUGUUCUACAAAUAACUUCGCUGUCUCUUCCGCCGUGACUGCAUGCGAGCAAGCUACAAAGUGGCACAUCUUUGUUAGUAGGUCUACCACCACCAUGAUGGCUGUUUCCCUUUGGACUUCGGCAGAUCAGUCAUAAAAUCUAUCGACACUGCCUCCCAAGGUCGUUCUGGGGCUGGUAAGGGUUCCUAACAGCCCCGCCGGCGCCCGCCUUUCCCUUUGGCUUGCUGGCAUUGCUCGCACCCUCUUACAUACUCACGUACAUCUUCCUCACCUUAGGCCACCAAAAUUCCCUGGUGACCAACCACAUGGUUUUGUGUUGUCCAAAAUGCCCCGCCGUAGGGCUGUCGUGCAACUGCUUGAGUACCCUCCCCCUUAGUCUCCUUCAGGGAUAUACAGUGCCCCUUUGUAAUACAAAGCUCCAUUUCUUUCCUCGAAACCCCCUGGUUCCUCUCCCUCACCCCUAAGACCUCUGAGCUUAUUCUGGGCGUAUUCAUCAUUCUCAGAAUACACCAACACGUCGUCUAAGAAGGCCACACAAUUCUUGUAAAGCAAAGGCCCCAGGACGUGGUUCAUAAACGAUUGAAAGCAUGCGGAGCCUGCUUGGAGGCCGAAGGGCAUAACCAAAUAUUCAAAUGCCCUAAAGGGGUGAACAUGGUGGUUUUCCAUUCAUCCCCCUUCCUUAUGAGUAUCAGGUUGUACGCCCCCCUUAGGUCCAGCUUUGUGAAAAUCUUUCCCUUCCGCACCCUUGUCAAAAUGUCGUCAAUCCUGGGCAUAGGGAAGGCCACUGGUUCUGACACUGCAUUUAAGGCCCUGAAGUCACACACCAGCCUCGGCUUGUCCGUGUUUUUUUUAGCCCCACAAAAACACUGGGCGGCCCCCACCGCCCUGGACUCUCUGAUGAACCCUCUCUUCAGGUUCUUGUCAAUGAACUCUCUUAGCUCCUGCAUCUCUGUCUGACAUGGCGUACAGCUUGCCUACAGGGAGCUGUGCCCCAGGGAGUAAAUUGAUUUGACAGUCAAAGGGUCUAUGCGGGGGUAGUUGGUCAGCUUACCAUUAGCUGAAUACGUCACGGAGAUCUGCGUAUUGUCGUGGUACCUUCACGUUCUCCGUUACUUCAGUCCCUGCUAGGGUGGCUUGGGCCCCUGCCAAACCCUUUCCUCUUUGCAGUGUUCUAAGCAAUGUGCUGAACCAAAAGAAACCACUCUCUGAUGCCAGCCCACCAGCGGAUCAUGUAACGCUAGCCAGCUCAUCCCCAAUAUAAUGGGAGCUCCUCCCAAGGUGGCCACAUUAAACGCUAUCAGUUCGGUGUGCCUUGCCACCUUCAUUAUCAUUGGGACGGUCUGCAAGCUGACUUCUCCUCCCAACAGCUCCCUGCCAUCGAUCGUGGUCACCUGCAGGGGUUGCUUAAAUGGAUCGUCUGUAUCUGGUGUUCAGCUGCAAACUCUUUGCUCAUGAAAUUGCAGGAGCUGCCUGAGUCCAACCGCGCCUGUGUGUUUCGAGGGUGUCCGUUUGGCCGCUCUCGCGCCACUUCUAUCACUAGGGCGGGUUUAGGAGGUUCUGGCGUGGGCACCUCACUGCUCUUUGGCCUGGCUGCUGUGCCCCGACGGUGGCAGCCAGGCGUUGGCUUUUACUUGCUCCGGUAUUUCUUCCUCUCUUCCCUCCACAGCUCCUACCAUCCCUUGCCAUUCCUUCCUCUGGGGGCAGACUCUGGCAAAGUGACCUGGCUGUUGGCAGAGAUAGCAUUUCGGGCGCGCUUUCCCUCCUUCUUUCCCCUCACUGGGCUUUGAAACUGCAGCGCGCGCGCUGUUCCGAUUUCCAUCGGCUCUGCCGGCGGGAAAGUUGGCUCUGGAAUGUCUGGAAUGCGGAACUCCUUCCAACGCUCCCUUCCCUUCCCGCCUCUCCAAUGCUCUCGCUCCUGGCGCGCUCCUAUGGUCAGCGCUGAUUUGGUCAGCUGGUCCAUAGACUCCGCCCUGGGCGCCCGGGAAAGUUCGUCUUUCACAGCCGAAGAAAGCCCUUCUUCAAAGAGCAUUUGAAUGGGUUCCGCCGAUAAGUCCCACCCCAAUCUGUGAACCAGCAUGGUGAACUCAGUCCAGUACUCACGGACAGAUCGGCUCCCCUGUUUGCAAGCCAUUAACUGUCUGCGCACCACUCCCUGUUCAAUAUCGCUGGAAACAUCAGAUCCAUGGCGCGAAAGAACUUCAUCGUGUCCUUUAGGACGUCACUAUUCGCUGCCAUCAGGGGUCUAACCCAGUCUCUCGCCCUUUUCAAGAUGCCCAAUCACGAAAGCCACUCGUGAUUCCUCGUCAGGGAAUUCAUCAAACUGCAGAUUGAGGGCAUAUUGCAUCUCUGUCCGAAAGCCAUGAUAGUCUUUGGGCCCCCAAACUUCUGCACCAAUCCUGGUACCUUUCUGGCGAGCUGGGUGGCUUUCCUUGUUGUCUGCAUCCUGAGCCCUCCUCUCCUCAAGCCUCGCCGUCUGCAGCGCUAGCUGGACCUCCAACACCCGGUACCUUCUUCCAGGCUUGGACCCGCUCCAGCUCCUGCUUCUCCGGUUCCGGCUGGGUUGCUCAUGAUGCCUUCUCCUGCACAAGCUGCUUUCAAAGACUGUCGGAAUGCUGUGAUGGGAUGAUGAGCUGCUUGUGCGUAAAAUCAGUAUCCCCUCAGAGUUUGUUCAAGUCCACAAACCUCUGUCUGUGACGGAGCCCUCAGACAUGGCUCCUCUAGUCACUAGCAGAUUCCGACAGUGGUUGCUUGCGAAUCGCUUCCAACAUAAAGCUCCUUAACGGAAACACGUCUUCUGGACUAUCUGCGUGACAGUUUCCGGCGAGGAGUGGGUGGUCCUACAGGAGGUCCUGAAACCUCCCCACUGCUUGCGCUGGAAGUGUCUCUGAGCCAUCCCUCCAGCUCACUUUCCCUCAGCUCAGCUCCUCUCCCCCUACUGGUUCCCUCUUCAGCUGCUGAGUCUCUCCCAACCUGUGUGAGCCCUUUCACCUCCCUUCCUUCCGAUGGCAGUUCCCUGACAUCCGGGUAAGCAUUGGGUAAGUCUCUUGCCGUUUAGAGAUUGGGGUGAACAAUACCAAUUGCAAAUGCAACACCUCCUCCUACUUAGUUUUUGAAUACAGUAAGCAUAUUUUAUUUUAAAAAGUGGGGUAGGAGAAUGGAAUCUACCUAAGGUACAGGGAAAGAGUAAAGAGUUAAAGCAUGACAGGUGCCACUUGGCCUACACAGCAUCAAAAGCAUAUUUGUCCCUUAAAAUACUGUAGAAGAGGAAAAAUGUUGUUUGUGGGGAUCAAUUGUCCUCCUUGCCAGAAUAGAAAUUCUAAUGUUUUUCUAGAAUAGUUUAAGAGGAGAUUGGUUGAGGUACAACUAUAGCAGCCUUUGCCAACUUGGUGGCUUCCAGAGGUGUUAGAUGAAAACUUCCACCCGAUUUGAUGGAAGUUAUUAUUAUUAUUAUUAUACUUUUUCUUUUGCAGGUAACAACAAAGAGCAACUGACUUCAGCUUGGAAAUCUGGAAAGUCACAGGAGAGAUGCAUACAUAUGUAAGAUGGGUAAGUAUAAUCCGAUACAUUCAUUUUACAAUAUAUUCUAAUCAUGAAGUCCAGAUUUCUUUUUAUGUGCAGGUAAAGAAUCUUGUAGAUUAUUGGUAAAGUCCCAGUAUAUUGCAUAGAAGUGCUCUGCAGAAUCUUUGCCUUUAAUUACACAAAGUUUGUGGGUUAUUUUUUCAGCGAUCACCAGUCUGCAAAUCUUUGUACCAUAAUGCAAGAGUCAACUUUAAUGUCUUCCAUUUUUGUGCUGCAGAAAUUCCGACAGCUGCCAGCAUCCAAGUAAUAGCUCUUCUGAAGGACACUGCUUCAUAUUAUUAUCCCACAUAUUUAAUAAAUAAAUAAAUGUGUGGGGUUGCUUGAAUCUGAAACUUAAAUAUGUCUGACAUUUCUGCAAAUAUCUCUUUCAUGGACAUUCUCACCAUAAAGGGAAAAAAGUUCCCUUUUGAGCACACCCUCCUCCAACAGACCUGGGAAGGUUGAGAGUUUAUGUGUGAGAUCUGAACAGGAGUUUGGUGCCAUCUAUGUAAUAUUGUAGUUUCAAAGAGUAUUCUUGGAUAUAAGUAGAUAUUGACUCGAAGGGUUUACUUGAGCAAAUACCAUUCCACAUAGUCUUCAAUGUUGAAAUUAAGGUCUCUUUCCUAUGCAGUUUUCAGGCCAACUAAUUGGCCUGUAGUUGUGUAAUAAUUCAUUAUACUAUACAUGGUAGAGAUCAAGCCUCUUCCUACAUGCCCUUGGUUUAAGAGUAUAAAUUCAAAUUUAGUUAACGGUCUGGUGGCUUGUGCAAUUAAAGCAUUAUAUGCUAAAUAAGUGGGAGAACUGUAUUUAUUGUAAGCAGUAGAGUCUCAAGUCACCUGUAUUUAUUGUUAGUUGUUCUUUGGAUAUUGGUUUAUCAUUAGCAUAAAAACUACAAAGUCUAAAUAAAUGUUUUUUCUUCCAUAAUAGGAUGAGAUUUCAUAGAGCUGGAUCUUGGACUUGGGUGUGAAAGCCAAGUGAUGUUAAAAGUGAACACAAAGGAGAUAGACAUCGCUGCAACCUUUUCCAUAUUGUGUUAUUUGUAUAUGGGUUGCGGUAUUUUAUCUAAAAUUGUUUUGGAAAUUCAGGAGUACCCAUAUUUUAUUUUAUAUCAUUUAGUCUUUGAGGUCAAUCCAUUUCUUAUUUGUUUUAGUGAUGAUAAAAUUACAUUGACAUCGUUGGAAUGCAUCGUGAGAUAAGGCUAGGUGUGGUAGCCCCUAUCCACUCCCUUGAUUUCCUGUAAAAAAUAAUAAUAACAGCCAGGCUGGACCAUUUUUUUUUAACACAAACACAAACUUUUAAAGUAUCAUUUACCAUUUCUUGAGUCAGUUGGGUGGAAGUCAAAUUAGAAGCAAUUGGGAAGGAUAUAAAAUUUUAGGUAUUAUCAUCAUUUGAAUAAACACAGUUAUGAAGUUGAAAGAUGUAGUUUAUCCCAUCAACCCAAGGCUCCUAACUUUUUAUAAGAGUAUAAUUUAAAAUGUAUAAUUUAUUCAAUUUAUAUGGUAUUUUUACCCCUAAAAAUUAGUCCUAAAAUGUGGAAUAGGUGUUUGCUGAAGCUUAAUUUGCUCCAUUGGGCCUAUAUUGUGGUACAUGAUCCAUGAUUUACUGAGAUUGGUUUUAAGGCCUGCCAUUUUUUCAUACUGACCUAAUUCUGAUUUUAGCAUUGGUGUCCAGUGGAUUAGUUAACAUGCAAAUCAUGUCAUCAGCAUAAAUGCUCUUCAUCCUUUCCUCAGUCACCGCUAAUAUGAGGGUUGAAUUGCAGUGAAAUUGCUAAAGGUUCUAGAGAAAAGGGAAAGAACAGUGAGGACAGAAUAUACUGUAUCAUUUAUCUUGCAUCUGAUGGACAACAUGGUUCAAAGCAUCUGGAGGGCACUAGGAUGGUAAAGGCUGGGCUAUAUUAUCAAUUUUGAAACCAUCUUCUGCCCCUCGCCUGGUCAUAGAAUGUUCUAGGGCCUUUUUAACAUUCUGGUAGGUUUUAUUACAUUCUAUGCUAGGAAUGUGCUGCUCUUUUUCAGUUAGUGUGCCUAGGAUUUGGGAAUCAUUCUGAAAUGUCGGCCAAAUUAUCACUUGUUUUGCAGGGAAAUAACAUUUUCCCAGCAAUAAAUAGCUUUUCUUGUUGUUGCUGGUAAAGAAAAAAAGAAAGGAAAGUGUUUCUCCUUCCAGACAGCAUGUCAACUGCAGCAGCGUGCUUGGUGUGGAAUGUGGUUCUGGCAUGUCAGUGAUGUCACUGGUGACAAGCACCACUCUUCCCCACCCCCUGGUGUUACUUUUAAAGUUGUUGUUGUUGAAGUUGUUUUAAAAAACAUGUUUCUUAAAAAAAAUCUUUUCAGGAGUUAAAGGUCUUUAAUGAGCUUUCCUUCUGUAGCAUAACAGCAGGAGUGCCAACUGCAGCCUUGUUAAAUGUGUAACGAGCUGGGUAAACCCCAUCAAGACGAUUUCCUCCCUUGCAAUAUUGUCCUG
This 13250-nucleotide long non-coding RNA is filed under the name Podarcis lilfordi (Lilford's wall lizard). Lineage: Eukaryota; Metazoa; Chordata; Lepidosauria; Squamata; Lacertidae. The record is from RNAcentral.